Molecule: ribosomal RNA, 580 nt
Filed under: uncultured bacterium
Lineage: Bacteria
Description: bacterial SSU rRNA
Rfam family: Bacterial small subunit ribosomal RNA
Source: RNAcentral
AAGCGGCGAACGGGUGAGUAACACGUGGGUGACCUGCCCUCGGCAUCGGGAUAGCCCGGGGAAACCCGGAUUAAUACCGAAUAGCCUCAUUGAUCUUCGGGUUGAUGAGAAAAGGUAGCUUCGGCUUCUAGCCGAGGAUGGGCCCGCGCCCGAUUAGCUUGUUGGUGAGGUAAUGGCUCACCAAGGCUACGAUCGGUAGCUGGUCUGAGAGGACGAUCAGCCACACUGGGACUGAGACACGGCCCAGACUCCUACGGGAGGCAGCAGUGGGGAAUCUUGCGCAAUGGGCGAAAGCCUGACGCAGCGACGCCGCGUGCGGGAGGAAGGCCUUAGGGUUGUAAACCGCUUUCAGGAGGGACGAAGCCACUCGGGUUAAUAGCCUAGAGGGUGACGGUACCUCCAGAAGAAGCCCCGGCUAACUACGUGCCAGCAGCCGCGGUAAUACGUAGGGGGCUAGCGUUGUCCGGAUUCAUUGGGCGUAAAGAGCGUGUAGGCGGUUCGAUAGGUCCGGUGUGAAAACUCGAGGCUCAACCUCGAGAGGUCGCCGGAAACCCUCGAGCUAGAGUCCGGAAGAGGAGAG